RNAcentral lists this ribosomal RNA (465 nucleotides) under Erronea ovum chrysostoma. RNAcentral describes it as "partial 16S large subunit ribosomal RNA". It matches the Rfam family "Bacterial large subunit ribosomal RNA", at positions 1850 to 2577 of the family's 2925-position model. The record is from RNAcentral. Lineage: Eukaryota; Metazoa; Mollusca; Gastropoda; Littorinimorpha; Cypraeidae.
GAGUCGGACCUGCCCAGUGAAUAUAUUUUAACGGCCGCGGUACUCUGACCGUGCAAAGGUAGCAUAAUCAUUUGCCCUAUAAUUGAGGGCUAGUAUGAAUGGUUUGACGUGAACAAAGCUGUCUCUAUGUAAUUUUUUAGAACUUGAUUUCUAGGUGAGGAAACCUAGAUUUAAUUGAAAGACAAGAAGACCCUAUUGAGCUUUAAAAAAAUAAAUUGAAAAUAAUAUAUAAUUUUAAAUAUUAAUCUAUUUUAGAUUUUGGUUGGGGCGACUAUGGAACAAAUAAAGCUUCUUUAUUAAUCAAUAAGACUUACAAGUGUUGAUCCAGAAAUUUUGAUCAAUGGAAUUAGUUACCAUAGGGAUAACAGCAUAAUUCUCUUUGAGAGCCCUUAUCGAAAAGAGAGUUUGUGACCUCGAUGUUGGACUAGAAUAUCCUAAAGAUGCAGCAGUCUUUAAGGGUUGGUC